Molecule: unclassified non-coding RNA, 742 nt
Filed under: Caespitomonium hyalinulum
Lineage: Eukaryota; Fungi; Ascomycota; Sordariomycetes; Hypocreales; Bionectriaceae
Description: Acremonium hyalinulum sequence contains 18S rRNA gene, ITS1, 5.8S rRNA gene, ITS2
Rfam family: Eukaryotic large subunit ribosomal RNA (bases 530-742)
Source: RNAcentral
CAAGGUCUCCGUUGGUGAACCAGCGGAGGGAUCAUUACAGAGUAUAACAACUCACAACCCUUUGUAAACCAUUUACCUCAGUUGCUUCGGCGGCCCCUCACGGGAGCCCGCCGGCAGUAUACCGAAUCUCUGUUUUCGAACCCGACGUAACGUCUGAGUGUUCUAAGCGAACUGUUAAAACUUUCAGCAACGGAUCUCUUGGCUCCAGCAUCGAUGAAGAACGCAGCGAAACGCGAUAUGUAAUGUGAAUUGCAGAAUUCAGUGAAUCAUCGAAUCUUUGAACGCACAUGGCGCCCCCUGGUAUUCCGGGGGGCAUGCCUGUCCGAGCGUCGUUUCAACCCUCGGGAGGACCGUCCUUACAGACGGCCCCGCCCGGCGUUGGGGAUCUGCGAACACAGCAGGCCCCGAAAAUCAGCGGCGGACCCGCGCGGCCCCUCCCUUGCGUAGUAGCAUUAGCCUCGCAUCGGUGACCCGUGGUGCUAUCCUGCCCCUAAACCCCCCGACAAGCCCGGCAUCGCCGGCACAAGGUUGACCUCGGAUCAGGUAGGAAUACCCGCUGAACUUAAGCAUAUCAAUAAGCGGAGGAAAAGAAACCAACAGGGAUUGCCCUAGUAACGGCGAGUGAAGCGGCAACAGCUCAAAUUUGAAAUCUGGCUCCUUCGGGGUCCGAGUUGUAAUUUGCAGAGGAUGCCUCGGGUGCGGGUUCCUUCCGAGUUCCCUGGAACGGGACGCCAUAGAGGGU